GCUAGUCGCACGAGUUCAGACUCGUGGCGAAUAGCUCAGUAACACGUGGCCAAACUACCCUUCGGAGCACGAUACCCUCGGGAAACUGAGGCUAAUAGUGCAUACCACAAUCCACCUGGAAUGAGGAUUGUGCCAAAUGCUCCGGCGCCGAAGGAUGUGGCUGCGGCCGAUUAGGUAGACGGUGGGGUAACGGCCCACCGUGCCAAUAAUCGGUACGGGUCAUGAGAGUGAGAACCCGGAGACGGAAUCUGAGACAAGAUUCCGGGCCCUACGGGGCGCAGCAGGCGCGAAACCUUUACACUGCACGCCAGUGCGAUAAGGGAAUCCCAAGUGCGUAGGCAUAGAGCCUACGCUUUUGUCCACCGUAGGGAGGUGUACGAAUAAGGGCUGGGCAAGACCGGUGCCAGCCGCCGCGGUAAUACCGGCAGCCCGAGUGAUGGCCGAUCUUAUUGGGCCUAAAGCGUCCGUAGCUGGCCGCACAAGUCCAUCGGAAAAUCCACCCGCUCAACGGGUGGGCGUCCGGUGGAAACUGUGUGGCUUGGGACCGGAAGGCGCGACGGGUACGUCCGGGGUAGGAGUGAAAUCCCGUAAUCCUGGACGGACCGCCGAUGGCGAAAGCACGUCGCG
This 627-nucleotide ribosomal RNA is filed under the name Halorubrum lipolyticum. Its description in RNAcentral is "bacterial SSU rRNA". It matches the Rfam family "Archaeal small subunit ribosomal RNA", at positions 53 to 681 of the family's 1478-position model. Lineage: Archaea; Methanobacteriati; Methanobacteriota; Halobacteria; Halobacteriales; Haloferacaceae. The record is from RNAcentral.